CCUACGGGAGGCAGCAGUGGGGAAUAUUGCACAAUGGGGGAAACCCUGAUGCAGCGACGCCGCGUGAGUGAAGAAGGAAUUCGUUAUGUAAAGCUCUAUCAGCAGGGAAGAAAAUGACGGUACCUGAGUAAGAAGCACCGGCUAACUACGUGCCAGCAGCCGCGGUAAUACGGAGGGAGCAAGCGUAAUCCGGAUUUACUGGGUGUAAAGGGAGCGUAGACGGUGGGGCAAGUCCGGAGUGAAAGGCCGGGGCUCAACCCCCGGACUGCUGUGGAAACUGUUCGGCUGGAGUGAAGGCGAGGUAAGUGGAAUGCCUGGUGUAGCGGUGAAAUGCGUAGAGAUUAGGAGGAACACCAGUGGCGAAGGCGGCUUACUGGACUGUAACUGACGUUGAGGCUCGAAAGCGUGGGGAGCAAACAGGAUUAGAUACCCCUGUAGUC
Molecule: ribosomal RNA, 440 nt
Filed under: uncultured bacterium
Lineage: Bacteria
Description: partial 16S ribosomal RNA
Rfam family: Bacterial small subunit ribosomal RNA
Source: RNAcentral